GAUGAACGCUGGCGGCGUGCCUAAUACAUGCAAGUCGAGCGAACAGAUGAGGAGCUUGCUCCUCUGACGUUAGCGGCGGACGGGUGAGUAACACGUGGAUAACCUACCUAUAAGACUGGGAUAACUUCGGGAAACCGGAGCUAAUACCGGAUAAUAUAUUGAACCGCAUGGUUCAAUAGUGAAAGACGGUUUUGCUGUCACUUAUAGAUGGAUCAGCGCCGCAUUAGCUAGUUGGUAAGGUAACGGCUUACCAAGGCAACGAUGCGUAGCCGACCUGAGAGGGUUAUCGGCCACACUGUAUGUGAGUCACGGUCCAUACUCCUACGGGAGGCAGCAGUAGGGAAUCUUCCGCAAUGGGCGAAGACCUGACGGAGCAACGUCGCGUGAGUGAUGAAGGUCUUCGGAUCGUAAAACUCUGUUAUUAGGGAAGAACAAAUGUGUAAGUAACUAUGCACGUCUUGACGGUACCUAAUCAGAAAGCCACGGCUAACUACGUG
RNAcentral lists this ribosomal RNA (497 nucleotides) under uncultured bacterium. RNAcentral describes it as "partial 16S ribosomal RNA". It matches the Rfam family "Bacterial small subunit ribosomal RNA", at positions 28 to 507 of the family's 1533-position model. The record is from RNAcentral.